UUGUAGAAUAUAAAAUUAAAAGAUUCAAAUUCUGUCAGUUUGUCAUAAAUGUGCUUCGUGGGGUAAAAAUGCCAAGUCAGAAUAGUUACAUCGAGUUGUAGGGGGAAUUCCACUGUCUGCCAUUUCCAGACACUGAAAGUCUCACGCCACUUAGCAUCACGUGAUUUUUUUUUUUUUUUUUUUUUUUUGGACACACCCCUGCAAACGAAAUUUAUUCAAAUGUGACACAUUAAAUAGCCAUUUCAAACUAUUAUUUAUACUGAUAUUCAUGUCUUUGGCGAUGGCAAAUAUUCCACCAGCGGCACCAAAUGAUCGAAUAACUGCAGAAAAAUCCGGCGCGCAGCCCGAAAUGUGCCAGAUGUCGGAACCAUGGCUUCGUCGUCCAGUUAAAAGGCCAUUCGGGAAAAUGUCAGUUUAGGCAAUGCUUGUGCUGGAAGUGUUCUCUCAUCAACGAGAGGACGAAAAUCCUGGCAUCUCAAAGACGGAUCAAAUCCGUUCAGGGAAACGAGUCACCGAGUACCGAUCGUACCGAGCAGACUGCUCUAUCUGACAGAAAAACGGUCUCUACGGGUAAUAAUUCUUCCACUAACGGAGCAAACGGCGAAACCGACGUCAACGCAAGAAAGGAGAAUGCUAUUAAAGCGCCCCGUUAGUCGAGAUGUCACAGGCGAUAAAACGUACAUUGACCUCCGCGCACCUGAAGGCACGCGCGGUUCCGUUAGCUUGGGCGCGGUUUUUUGUGAUCAGAAGACACCGGCGGGACCGAGCGCUCCGAGCGGCGUUCAUGGAGACUCACCACCUUUUCCUGGAGAGUACAUAAUUACAGAGGCAAUCCCAGGGCAAAUCUAUCCUGCAGAGAUGUUCGCAAUCCCUCUUCCCUUGCAUCCGCAUUACCCGGACAGAUACAUGUUCCCGGCGGUGCUGGUGAGCCUGAGACCACCUGCACCAGGAGCCUUCAGGGAACAAGUUGGAUUUGUUCCCUUGCCACCAGGAGCGCUGUCUCAUCCACUGGAGACUCGGGAAUGGCAAAUCCAUGUUCCGCAGUAUAGUCCGUACCCCCAAUAUCCAGGGCUAAGAGAUGAACGUUUCCAGUGUCACGUGAAUGGAGAGCAAAGACGAUCUGAGGUUCCUCCUCAAGCUGCAAGUGUCUCAGAAAGUCAAGUUUGUGGUAACCAGGAAACCGAUGUUGUACCUGUCGAAAGUCUUUCCUCAAGGAACACACCCUGAAAAGAUUAAAAACCUCCAGUUUUUCUUGACUGAUACCACAUAAUUUGUAUAAAAGACAUUCAAUAUUUCCUUUUCAAAUAGUUCUCAUAUUUUUUCCCCCCAAUAGCAGUUACGCUGCAUGUUCCUUACUGUGACUAUGCUGUAUUUCUGAUUUUCAGAAGACACAGCUGAAACCAAUGCUGUCUUUGUUCCAGUAAAGACAACAGUUUGACAUUUGUUCUUACACUACAACCAAUUAUGGUAUCAGUCUUCAUUUUUUUGUUGCACAGUUUUUAAAUUUGACAGCUCUAAUUCCAACUGAUUAGAUUGGAAAGUUGAAUGUUAAAAGCAGUUAUGCUUGAUAUUUUUUUUCUUCUGGCCUGUUGUUAGGCUUUUUGAGACAGUAGUGUUGUUCAUGAUGUUUUUUUCCUAAAUCUGGAAGUGUGUUUAAUGAAUAAACUCUUCCAUUCUUAA
Ctenopharyngodon idella (grass carp) is the source of this 1680-nucleotide long non-coding RNA. RefSeq lists it as uncharacterized. Lineage: Eukaryota; Metazoa; Chordata; Actinopteri; Cypriniformes; Xenocyprididae. The record is from RefSeq and is a predicted model, not a curated record. The transcript is spliced from 4 exons.